AACGGCCAUACCAUGCUGAAUAUACCCGUUCUCGUUAGAUCACCGAAGUCAAACAUCAUUGGGGGCGGUCUGUACUUGGGUGGGUGACCACCUGGGAACACCGCGUGCCGUU
RNAcentral lists this ribosomal RNA (112 nucleotides) under Caerostris darwini. Lineage: Eukaryota; Metazoa; Arthropoda; Arachnida; Araneae; Araneidae. The record is from RNAcentral.